UCAUGGCUCAGGACGAACGCUGGCGGCGUGCCUAAUACAUGCAAGUCGAACGAACUCUGGUAUUGAUUGGUGCUUGCAUCAUGAUUUACAUUUGAGUGAGUGGCGAACUGGUGAGUAACACGUGGGAAACCUGCCCAGAAGCGGGGGAUAACACCUGGAAACAGAUGCUAAUACCGCAUAACAACUUGGACCGCAUGGUCCGAGUUUGAAAGAUGGCUUCGGCUAUCACUUUUGGAUGGUCCCGCGGCGUAUUAGCUAGAUGGUGGGGUAACGGCUCACCAUGGCAAUGAUACGUAGCCGACCUGAGAGGGUAAUCGGCCACAUUGGGACUGAGACACGGCCCAAACUCCUACGGGAGGCAGCAGUAGGGAAUCUUCCACAAUGGACGAAAGUCUGAUGGAGCAACGCCGCGUGAGUGAAGAAGGGUUUCGGCUCGUAAAACUCUGUUGUUAAAGAAGAACAUAUCUGAGAGUAACUGUUCAGGUAUUGACGGUAUUUAACCAGAAAGCCACGGCUAACUACGUGCCAGCAGCCGCGGUAAUACGUAGGUGGCAAGCGUUGUCCGGAUUUAUUGGGCGUAAAGCGAGCGCAGGCGGUUUUUUAAGUCUGAUGUGAAAGCCUUCGGCUCAACCGAAGAAGUGCAUCGGAAACUGGGAAACUUGAGUGCAGAAGAGGACAGUGGAACUCCAUGUGUAGCGGUGAAAUGCGUAGAUAUAUGGAAGAACACCAGUGGCGAAGGCGGCUGUCUGGUCUGUAACUGACGCUGAGGCUCGAAAGUAUGGGUAGCAAACAGGAUUAGAUACCCUGGUAGUCCAUACCGUAAACGAUGAAUGCUAAGUGUUGGAGGGUUUCCGCCCUUCAGUGCUGCAGCUAACGCAUUAAGCAUUCCGCCUGGGGAGUACGGCCGCAAGGCUGAAACUCAAAGGAAUUGACGGGGGCCCGCACAAGCGGUGGAGCAUGUGGUUUAAUUCGAAGCUACGCGAAGAACCUUACCAGGUCUUGACAUACUAUGCAAAUCUAAGAGAUUAGACGUUCCCUUCGGGGACAUGGAUACAGGUGGUGCAUGGUUGUCGUCAGCUCGUGUCGUGAGAUGUUGGGUUAAGUCCCGCAACGAGCGCAACCCUUAUUAUCAGUUGCCAGCAUUAAGUUGGGCACUCUGGUGAGACUGCCGGUGACAAACCGGAGGAAGGUGGGGAUGACGUCAAAUCAUCAUGCCCCUUAUGACCUGGGCUACACACGUGCUACAAUGGAUGGUACAACGAGUUGCGAACUCGCGAGAGUAAGCUAAUCUCUUAAAGCCAUUCUCAGUUCGGAUUGUAGGCUGCAACUCGCCUACAUGAAGUCGGAAUCGCUAGUAAUCGCGGAUCAGCAUGCCGCGGUGAAUACGUUCCCGGGCCUUGUACACACCGCCCGUCACACCAUGAGAGUUUGUAACACCCAAAGUCGGUGGGGUAACCUUUUAGGAACCAGCCGCCUAAGGUGGGACAGAUGAUUAGGGUGAAGUCGUAACAAGGUAGCCGUAGGAGAACCUGCGGUU
RNAcentral lists this ribosomal RNA (1537 nucleotides) under Lactiplantibacillus pentosus. Its description in RNAcentral is "Lactobacillus pentosus 16S ribosomal RNA". It matches the Rfam family "Bacterial small subunit ribosomal RNA". The record is from RNAcentral. Lineage: Bacteria; Bacillati; Bacillota; Bacilli; Lactobacillales; Lactobacillaceae.